GACGAACGCUGGCGGCGUGCUUAACACAUGCAAGUCGAACGGUAAGGCCCUUCGGGGUACACGAGUGGCGAACGGGUGAGUAACACGUGGGUGAUCUGCCCUGCACUUCGGGAUAAGCCUGGGAAACUGGGUCUAAUACCGGACAGGACCACUGCCUGCAUGGGUGGUGGUGGAAAGCUUUUGCGGUGUGGGAUGGGCCCGCGGCCUAGCAGCUUGUUGGUGGGGUGAUGGCCUACCAAGGCGACGACGGGUAGCCGGCCUGAGAGGGUGACCGGCCACACUGGGACUGAGAUACGGCCCAGACUCCUACGGGAGGCAGCAGUGGGGAAUAUUGCACAAUGGGCGCAAGCCUGAUGCAGCGACGCCGCGUGAGGGAUGACGGCCUUCGGGUUGUAAACCUCUUUCAGCACCGACGAAGCGCGAGUGACGGUAGGUGCAGAAGAAGGACCGGCCAACUACGUGCCAGCCGCCGCUGUAA
Molecule: ribosomal RNA, 478 nt
Filed under: uncultured bacterium
Lineage: Bacteria
Description: partial 16S ribosomal RNA
Rfam family: Bacterial small subunit ribosomal RNA
Source: RNAcentral